This 429-nucleotide ribosomal RNA is filed under the name uncultured bacterium. Its description in RNAcentral is "bacterial SSU rRNA". It matches the Rfam family "Bacterial small subunit ribosomal RNA", at positions 29 to 506 of the family's 1533-position model. The record is from RNAcentral.
ACGAACGCUGGCGGCAGGCUUAACACAUGCAAGUCGAACGCCCCGCAAGGGGAGUGGCAGACGGGUGAGUAACGCGUGGGAAUCUACCCAAUUCUACGGAACAACAGUUGGAAACGACUGCUAAUACCGUAUACGCCCUACGGGGGAAAGAUUUAUCGGAAUUGGAUGAGCCCGCGUUGGAUUAGCUAGUUGGUGGGGUAAAGGCCUACCAAGGCGACGAUCCAUAGCUGGUCUGAGAGGAUGAUCAGCCACAUUGGGACUGAGACACGGCCCAAACUCCUACGGGAGGCAGCAGUGGGGAAUAUUGGACAAUGGGCGCAAGCCUGAUCCAGCCAUGCCGCGUGAGUGAUGAAGGUCUUGGGAUUGUAAAGCUCUUUCACCGGAGAAGAUAAUGACGGUAUCCGGAGAAGAAGCCCCGGCUAACUUCGU